RNAcentral lists this long non-coding RNA (1504 nucleotides) under Olea europaea (common olive). RNAcentral describes it as "long non-coding RNA (OEUR_LNC011471)". Lineage: Eukaryota; Viridiplantae; Streptophyta; Magnoliopsida; Lamiales; Oleaceae. The record is from RNAcentral.
GGGCAUGCAAUAGUUCAAUAAUUUGAGAAUGAAAAAAUUCAAAACAUAGUCACUAGACGUAACAUUUUAAACAAACCACAAGAACACAACUCAAUCCAAACCCUUUUCUAAGGACAGAUUAAAAAAAACGUGUAUAAUGACCCGUGACAACAGCGCACAGGUAGGAUAGAAAAAUAUAACUGAACAGAAAAAGGGUAGCGACUAAUGUUAAAAUGGUGCUCAGAAAUAUAAGUUAGAAUUAGAAGAAUACUCAUUUAGCAACAGAAUAUCCGAUUAUAGAACAUCGAAAGUUAAACAAAAUUAUACGACCACAAAACUCAAUUUCUGACAGCAGCAAAUAGAAUUAGCAAUGAUAAGGGAACAGUUGACAGACACUCUGUCCGGAAAAUAGAAAUUCAUUAAGCCCCUCUUUGGUCCACAACUUUUAUCCACUUUUUAACCACACAUUUCACAGGGUUCACAUCUUAUAAUCUAAAAAAUCUGAACCCAACGUGUAAUUCAGAUAGAACCAGAUUGCGACAAAAUGGCCAAUUUUUUUACUAUGCGUUAUACAAUCCAUAAUUCCCAUUCUAAAAAUUCACAUGCUUCAUUGAAAAUGAUUCAAAAGGAGCACAAAAAAAGGGAAAUCAUAGUAGUUAUACAUAUAUGCUUAUAUAUAUGGAAAAUAACCAUGCUAGUAAGUAAUUGUCAUAAAUCAUUUACUACGUGUUUAUACUUCGUUUUCGUACAGAAGACCUACUACUCCUUUUCUUCUACUACCACAUACAACAUCAAUUCAGUUCGUAAAUAAAUUAAAACUAAGUGAAAGUAUAAAUCCCUUGCAGAGGAGGGAGUCGAAAUGUAAUAACUAUCCAAUUCAAGGCCAGAUAAUUUGCGAAUAAAUUAGCCAAAUCCAUCGUUUCAGUAGCAAAGUUGUUUUGUUAUCUUGUUUCUAAAUGGAUCAAGUCAUUAGAAGCGAGCAUAAAUAGGGGAAAAACAUGAAGUAUACACAUCUUUUGUUUCUCAACUAAUCAAGUUACUUAACUAUUUACAAUUAUUACAAACAAAAGAAAAUACACAAACAUACAAUAAACGUAUAGACAGCUCGUAAAGCCCUAAAAGAGAGGGAAAAUGAAUUUACAGAUAGCAAGGAGAGGACAUGGCCCAUUAUCAUUUUGCAGAAUAAUUGGCGUGGUCCGUCCCAGGAACUGUAUCACUUUAGUCUUGUGCACCAUCUCCUUUUCCUUUUCUUCCCGCUUUUGCUCAGCCGUUAAAACCGGUUCCGCGGCGGAACUCGACGGCGAUGAAGAAGAUUCGAAAGGCGGCGGAGGAGAAGAAUCCAUCAAUUUACUUUGAUUUCAAAUUAAUCGAUCAAAAAUCCUACAGCGUAUCACUCCAAUUUCGUAAUAUAUUUGUAGAAAACACGCACGGGUGGAAGUACUGGAACGCGUGAGCUGUAUAGCGAGAAAUAGCAAUUUGUUUUUGGAGAGAGACAAAAUUACAGACGGCAGUUGUUAUAUGGGGC